Molecule: long non-coding RNA, 2017 nt
Filed under: Takifugu rubripes (torafugu)
Lineage: Eukaryota; Metazoa; Chordata; Actinopteri; Tetraodontiformes; Tetraodontidae
Description: lncRNA (ENSTRUG00000028102.1)
Source: RNAcentral
CCUCAUUCUUCGAUCCCUCCAGACGAUGGGGUGCUGCUUUAGCGUGAAGAAGACUUCUGGCCAGCGGAGUGACAGCAGCAGCCCGUCACGCUCCCCGCCCUGCGGUAGACGGAGCAAGGUGACGGCGGAGCUCAGGCAGCGCACCUCCGCAAGAACCCAGCAUGAGGAAACUGAGGUUUUUAGGAACCCAAAACACGGUGUCGAUCCCACCCUUGAGUCAGAUCCUCGUGUGGCGCUGCCCAGACUGAUCGCAGGCGGAGAGCAAAACGCUCCAGAUGGGCCACCGUCCGUUGCCUUCGUGGUGAAUGAGGCGUCGGGUGACCAGCAGAGGCCGAAGGUCGAUCCAGAACCGCAACGCGACGUUAAGGACGGCGAGGAGGUGCGUGUUGUAAAGAGGGCUCGGUACCAGGCGUUACAGACAAAGACCCACAGCUGCUGCAGCAUGUGUUCCUUUGAUGACCUUGGCCAAGGGCAGAACCAGUGUGGAGCAACAGAUGAGCCUGGUCCAUCCGCUCUGCUGCAAACCAGCGUGGUCUCAACACCUCCUCCUAAACCAGAUGCUGGUUUAUUACAAUGCCUCCUCGUGGACCAGAUGCUGGUUUUUUACACCUCCUCCUUGACCAGCUGCUGGUUUAUUACCAUACCUCCUCCUGGACCAGACGAUGGUUUAUUACCAACACCUCCUGGACCAGACUUUGAUUUCCUACCACCUCCUCCUGGACCAGACUAUGGAUUAUUACCAACACCUCCUGGACCAGAUGCUCGUCUAUUACAAUACCUCCUCGUGGACCAGAUGCUGGUUUUUUACACCUCCUCCUGGACCAGGUGCUGGUUUAAUAUAAUACCUCCUCCCGGACCAGACUAUGAUUUCUUAUCACCUCCUCCUGGACCAGACUAUGGAUUAUUACCACCUCCGCCUGGACCAGACUUUGAUUUCCUACCACCUCCUCCUGGACCAGACUCUGAUUUAUUACCACCUCCUCCUGGACCAGAGGCUGGUUUAUUACCACCUUCUCCUGGAGCAGAGGCUGGUUUAUUACCACCUCCUCCUGGACCAGAGGCUGGUUUAUUACCACCUUCUCCUGGAGCAGAGGCUGGUUUAUUACCACCUCCUCCUGGACCAGAGGCUGAUUUAUUACCACCUCCUCCUGGACCAGAGUUAGACGUGUGUCAUAAUGAGACAAGCGAUGGUCCCACUCGCUUAACUGACGCACCUGAAGACCUCGGCACCCUGAGAACUGGCCGUCAGGACGUCGGUACUCAAACUUUGCCCCCUGGUGCUUGUAGAGAUGCUUGCAGUCCAUCAUACUUGGUUCACUCCAGCCGUCUCGAGCAGCCCGUGAUGGCUGAAGGGGGCGACAGCAGGGGAAAGAUGAAGGAAGUGGUGUCAGAGCUGCGGGGAGAUGUUGCCGACCUCCCCCUCCCUGAGCCCCGUAUCAAACUGGGUCCGAUUAGCAGACGGGCCUGGGCCCGGGGCACGCUCUGGGCUGGGUUUCCAAAGACAUCAUGUUCCACAUUGUGUCAGCGACCCGGUGCGUCUUCCAGCCCCAACCAGAAACCUGCAGUGUGCAGCAAUCCAGAUGUUGGUCUGAAUAGCUGUCACCUUCCCAACAAGGAGCCCCAGCAGCUGCGGAACCGAUUCUCUGGCCAUUAUUUGCCAUGUUGUGGAUUUGUAGGACGCCUCCCUGUGUCCCAGCUGGAGAACGCGGCGGUCAAUAAUUCAUCCAGUUUGGUUGUAGGGACGGAAACCAGGUCUACUGUAUUCUGGUGGACUUUAAACACAACUUUAAGACUUCUCUUUUUUUAAAGCAUUGAAGAGCCUGUGAGUUGUUGUUCUCUAGUUUGGUUUAUUUCUGUUUUUAAUUUGACCUCCAUGAUCACAGGGUGACCUGUGUCUGUUUAAAUGUGCUGCAGCACAGACCUAAAGCUCCUCUCUGAAGUGUGUUUCUUUUAACACAGCUGCGUAAUUGAUGGUUUUAAUUCUGCUUUCUUCUAUUAAAAAGCACUGAGUAAUAUG